Molecule: transfer RNA, 68 nt
Filed under: Ifremeria nautilei
Lineage: Eukaryota; Metazoa; Mollusca; Gastropoda; Provannidae
Description: tRNA-Leu
Rfam family: tRNA
About the family: Transfer RNA (tRNA) molecules are approximately 80 nucleotides in length.
Source: RNAcentral
AUAAAGAUGGCAGAAAAGUGCAUUAGGUUUAGAACCUAAAUAUAAAGACAUAAAUUCUUUUCUUUAUA